UGGGGAAUAUUGCACAAUGGAGGGAACUCUGAUGCAGCGACGCCGCGUGAGUGAUGAAGGAAUUCGUUUCGUAAAACUCUGUUCUAUGGGAAGAAAAGGACUGUACCAUAGGAGAAAGCUCCGGCUAAAUACGUGCCAGCAGCCGCGGUAAUACGUAUGGAGCGAGCGUUGUCCGGAAUUAUUGGGCGUAAAGGGUGCGCAGGCGGCUUUACAAGUUUGAUGUGAAAUAUUGUGGCUCAACCACAAACGUGCAUCCAAAACUGCAAAGCUUGAGUUAAGGAGAGGUAAGUGGAAUUCCUGGUGUAGCGGUGGAAUGCGUAGAUAUCAGGAGGAAUACCGGUGGCGAAGGCGACUUACUGGACUUAAACUGACGCUCAGGCACGAAAGCGUGGGGAGCAAACAGG
RNAcentral lists this ribosomal RNA (404 nucleotides) under Fusobacteriota bacterium. RNAcentral's name for it is "Fusobacteria bacterium partial 16S ribosomal RNA". It matches the Rfam family "Bacterial small subunit ribosomal RNA", at positions 355 to 776 of the family's 1533-position model. The record is from RNAcentral. Lineage: Bacteria; Fusobacteriati; Fusobacteriota.